RNAcentral lists this ribosomal RNA (253 nucleotides) under uncultured bacterium. RNAcentral's name for it is "partial 16S ribosomal RNA". It matches the Rfam family "Bacterial small subunit ribosomal RNA", at positions 524 to 776 of the family's 1533-position model. The record is from RNAcentral.
UACAGAGGUCUCAAGCGUUGUUCGGAUUCAUUGGGCGUAAAGGGUGUGUAGGUGGCGCGCUAAGUCGGGUGUGAAAUUUCGGAGCUUAACUCCGAAACUGCAUUUGAUACUGGCGUGCUUGAGGACUGGAGAGGAGACUGGAAUUCAUGGUGUAGCAGUGAAAUGCGUAGAGAUCAUGAGGAAGACCAGUGGCGAAGGCGGGUCUCUGGACAGUUCCUGACACUGAGGCACGAAGGUCAGGGGAGCAAACGGG